UAUUUUCUGCACCGUUCAGUUUACCUAAUAUUCAUAAAAUAAAUCAAAUUCUGAAAUAAAUAUAGUGAGACAUUCUUAUUCAGCCAAGAUGUGCAACACCCUUCCUCCCCAUGUUAUCACAUAUCUGUGGUAUGCAUGAUGGAACAAUAAAGGGGAGAAAAAAAAAUCACUAACAGAAAAAAAUAAUUACAAGCACAUUUUGUACUUUUAUCUAAUAAAGAAAAAUCAGACACAUGUAGCACGCCAAGCUUGAAUCCAUCCGCUGCUCGGCAGCUGCCUCUCUCUGUCUGAAAAAAAAAAAAGCGCUGAUGAAAAAGGCUUUGAACGCCAUCUUGUUCAUUGCAGCUGCCUGGGCCCUGAAUACAGGAACCCAUUCAUUCGAGGAGGCGGAGGGAGGGAGGGGGCACGCUGGCAAAAUGAAUUCAUCUUUGUGAACCAGUAAAUGCGACCAGCUCUUUUUGGGGAACUAACCAUUUCCUAAACAGCUAGUAAUCCAAUGAAGGCGGUGGUGGGGGGGGAUUUGUUUGGAUGGAUCCGGUCACCGGUAAAUAACUUGGCAAAAGCGUCAAAAGCUCGGUGCAUUUUUUUCCCCCUCGGCGCUCAGCGUGGCUUCCUGUGACAACUCGAUGCUAAGCCCGCUUUCGGCACACCUUAACUCCGAACCUAAACCCUUCGGUACCGUGUGUUCGUCCCGAAUCCCCGGACACGUCCAUGCCUCCACGCUACACCGUGGCGCCCAUUCUCGGGGUUAGGUCUUAAAAAAAAAAGGCUACGGAGCUGCUGCGCGGCCCACCGGGGCAUGAUCGCCGGAGCCGCUAACAACCUGGCCCCGCAACAGACCCGUGAUCGAGAUAAACAGAUUGUCCAAAAUCCAAUUAGACAAUCUUGUUUUCGCGUCAUUAAAAGAAGAAGUUCAGAUUACGGUCGAAUCGCGCCGCGGACGGAACUUAAAGCUGCACCCGAACAGGCAAAAAGUAAAAUGGCUAUCGUCUCCCACAGGUAUCACCGGGGGAUUCAUGUCCUGUGGGUGGACCACCUCUGAAAUACAGAGAGGACUUAAUCAUCAUCGCCGGUCCUCCAGGCAGCGUGCUCAGAGGAGGAGUUAAUGCUCAGUGGGUUAAGGCGUUACUUGGAGACGUGGAACACUUUGUGGUCCUCCGAGGCAACGGAGUGUGCUUUGGGUUCGGUCCGAUGGGGGACGAAUGCUGCAGCAGCAGCAGCAGCAGCAGCAGCAGCAGCCUUGGUUCAUAAGAAGAAUGUUGCAGUAUGUUACUGCUAACUCUGACUUCAUCCACUCAUGCCUUUAACAUUACUAUGGUGAUGACAGUAAAUCAAAUAAUGAAAAAGGCAAAAAUGAUAUGCCAUAUAAUAAAAUAAUAUGUUGCGUAUUUGGCACGCUCCUAUUUUUGGCGGAAACGUGGGCUUUCCUCAUAUAUAAACCAUCAAAACCUUCUCAAGCCACAUCUAAGCACACCUCCAAGAAGAAUAAGUGAGCACUAGAGAGAUUAGCAGAUGCAAAGGAAAUAAAACCCUCAACCGAAAAGGUACUUCUUGCGGGUGAUGCUGUUUCUAAUUAUAGACGUGGUGCAACAUAGCCAGAUUUGAAGAUCACAAAAUACUAAAACCAACAGUUAAAGAAAUGUCGAAGAGAGACAGGGCGAUGUUUUGAGCGUGGCUUUCUGCUGGGACUCGCCCGCCCAGGUUAAUGCUGCUAAGGUUUAGUUGUCCCUGGAUACACCCCCCCUUGCCUGUUUGCAUACAUGUGUUGUGAAGGUUCCUUAGCAGUGCUUUAAAAACCCCCAGGAGGGACACCCAUUUCUUCUGGAUCCAGACCGAUGACGUGGGAGCAAAAACUCCUUCCACAUCUUCAUAAAAGGUGUGACGACACAACCGUGGUAGAACCACUAAAGCAGGGCAGAGGAUGAGCAACUCCAGGAGUCACAGCGUUCAGGAGCAUCAGCUCUCCUGAAUCGAACAGGUUCGAAAAAGGAUG
Long non-coding RNA from Fundulus heteroclitus (mummichog), 1993 nucleotides. RefSeq lists it as uncharacterized. NCBI's taxonomy places the organism in Eukaryota, Metazoa, Chordata, Actinopteri, Cyprinodontiformes, Fundulidae. The record is from RefSeq and is a predicted model, not a curated record. The transcript has 3 exons.